Molecule: transfer RNA, 73 nt
Filed under: Roseivivax halodurans JCM 10272
Lineage: Bacteria; Pseudomonadati; Pseudomonadota; Alphaproteobacteria; Rhodobacterales; Roseobacteraceae
Rfam family: tRNA
About the family: Transfer RNA (tRNA) molecules are approximately 80 nucleotides in length. Their secondary structure includes four short double-helical elements and three loops (D, anti-codon, and T loops). Further hydrogen bonds mediate the characteristic L-shaped molecular structure. tRNAs have two regions of fundamental functional importance: the anti-codon, which is responsible for specific mRNA codon recognition, and the 3' end, to which the tRNAs corresponding amino acid is attached (by aminoacyl-tRNA synthetases). tRNAs cope with the degeneracy of the genetic code in two manners: having more than one tRNA (with a specific anti-codon) for a particular amino acid; and 'wobble' base-pairing, i.e. permitting non-standard base-pairing at the 3rd anti-codon position.
Source: Rfam by way of RNAcentral
GGAGCGUUAGUCGAGCGGUCAAGACGCCGGCCUGUCACGCCGGAGAACACGGGUUCGAUCCCCGUACGCUUCG